CAACCCUCAAGCUCAGCUUGGUGUUGGGUGUUUGUCUCCUGUAGACUCGCCUUAAAACAAUUGGCAGCCGGCGUAUUGAUUUCGGAGCGCAGUACAUCUCGCGCUUUGCACUCAUAACGACGACAUCCAAAAGUACAUUUUUACAC
RNAcentral lists this unclassified non-coding RNA (146 nucleotides) under uncultured Ascomycota. RNAcentral's name for it is "sequence contains ITS2". Lineage: Eukaryota; Fungi; Ascomycota. The record is from RNAcentral.